RNAcentral lists this ribosomal RNA (486 nucleotides) under uncultured bacterium. Its description in RNAcentral is "bacterial SSU rRNA". It matches the Rfam family "Bacterial small subunit ribosomal RNA", at positions 28 to 524 of the family's 1533-position model. The record is from RNAcentral.
GACGAACGCUGGCGGCGUGCUUAACACAUGCAAGUCGAACGAGGUCCACUGCGUAGCAAUACAAGGGAAGACCUAGUGGCGAACGGGUGCGUAACACGUGAGGAACUUGUCCCGGUCUCUGGGAUAACAGUUGGAAACGACUGCUAAUACCGGAUGACGUCGGAAUCUCGCAUGGGAUACUGACGAAAGGGUUACUGGAUCGGGAGAGCCUCGCGGCCUAUCAGCUUGUUGGUGAGGUAACGGCUCACCAAGGCAUCGACGGGUAGCUGGUCUGAGAGGAUGAUCAGCCACACUGGGACUGAGACACGGCCCAGACUCCUACGGGAGGCAGCAGUGGGGAAUCUUGCGCAAUGGGGGCAACCCUGACGCAGCCAUGCCGCGUGAACGAUGAAGGCCUUAGGGUUGUAAAGUUCUUUUACCCGUGACGAUGAUGACGGUAACGGGGGAAUAAGCUCCGGCUAACUUCGUGCCAGCAGCUGCGGUAAU